This 462-nucleotide ribosomal RNA is filed under the name uncultured bacterium. Its description in RNAcentral is "bacterial SSU rRNA". It matches the Rfam family "Bacterial small subunit ribosomal RNA", at positions 29 to 526 of the family's 1533-position model. The record is from RNAcentral.
AAUGAACGUUGGCGGCGUGGAUUAGGCAUGCAAGUCGAGCGAGAACCCAGCAAUGGGGGACAGCGGCGAAAGGGACAGUAAUGUGUAGAUUAUCUGCCCUCAGGUCCGGGAUAGCUGCGGGAAACUGCAGGUAAUACCGGAUAACAUCUCCGGAUCAAAGGUGUGAUUCCGCCUGAGGAUGAGUCUACAUCCUAUUAGCUAGUUGGCAGGGUAAUGGCCUACCAAGGCUUUGAUGGGUAGCGGGUGUGAGAGCACGACCCGCGUCAUUGGGACUGAGACACUGCCCAGACACCUACGGGUGGCUGCAGUCGAGAAUCUUCGGCAAUGGGCGCAAGCCUGACCGAGCGACGCCGCGUGCGGGAUGAAGGCCUUAGGGUUGUAAAGCUCUUUCAGCUGGGAAGAUAAUGACGGUACCAGCAGAAGAAGCCCCGGCUAACUCCGUGCCAGCCGCCGCCGUAAAAC